RNAcentral lists this ribosomal RNA (405 nucleotides) under uncultured bacterium. Its description in RNAcentral is "bacterial SSU rRNA". It matches the Rfam family "Bacterial small subunit ribosomal RNA", at positions 355 to 775 of the family's 1533-position model. The record is from RNAcentral.
UGAGGAAUAUUGGUCAAUGGGCGAAAGCCUGAACCAGCAACGCCGCGUGAGGGAUGAAGGCCUUCGGGUCGUAAACCUCUUUUCUGGGAGACGAGACAAGGACGGUAUCCCAGGAAUAAGUCUCGGCUAACUACGUGCCAGCAGCCGCGGUAAAACGUAGGAGGCAAGCGUUAUCCGGGUUUACUGGGCGUAAAGCGCACGCAGGCGGCUGCGUAAGUCGGACGUGAAAGCUCCUGGCUCAACUGGGAGAGGUCGUUCGAAACUGCGCGGCUUGAGGUUGGAAGAGGAGAGCGGAAUUCCCGGUGUAGUGGUGGAAUGCGUAGAUAUCGGGAGGAACACCAGUGGCGAAAGCGGCUCUCUGGUCCACACCUGACGCUCAGGUGCGAAAGCGUGGGUAGCGAACGG